UGGGGGAUAUUGCACAAUGGGGGGAACCCUGAUGCAGCGACGCCGCGUGGGUGAAGGAGUGCUUCGGCAUGUAAAGCCCUAUCGGCAGGGAAGAAGCAAGACGGUACCUGACUAAGAAGCCCCGGCUAACUACGUGCCAGCAGCCGCGGUAAUACGUAGGGGGCGAGCGUUAUCCGGAUUCACUGGGUGUAAAGGGAGCGUAGACGGCCAUGCAAGCCAGGGGUGAAAGCCCGGGGCCCAACCCCGGGACUGCCCUUGGAACUGCAUGGCUGGAGUGCGGGAGGGGCAGGCGGAAUUCCUGGU
RNAcentral lists this ribosomal RNA (303 nucleotides) under uncultured bacterium. RNAcentral's name for it is "bacterial SSU rRNA". It matches the Rfam family "Bacterial small subunit ribosomal RNA", at positions 355 to 674 of the family's 1533-position model. The record is from RNAcentral.